GCAAACUUGGUCAUUUAGAGGAAGUAAAAGUCGUAACAAGGUUUCCGUAGGUGAACCUGCGGAAGGAUCAUUACAGUAGUGGAGCUUCGGCUCCAUUAAGAUGAAACCCUUGCCUUUUUGAGCACUAUUUUGUUUCCUCGGCGGGCUUGCCUGCCAAUGGGGAUCUCCAAACCCUUUGUAAUGAAGCAGUUGUCUGAUAAUAAAUCUAAUAUCAAAACUUUCAACAAUGGAUCUCUUGGUUCUGGCAUCGAUGAAGAACGCAGC
Molecule: unclassified non-coding RNA, 264 nt
Filed under: uncultured fungus
Lineage: Eukaryota; Fungi
Description: partial contains small subunit ribosomal RNA, internal transcribed spacer 1, and 5.8S ribosomal RNA
Rfam family: Eukaryotic small subunit ribosomal RNA (bases 1-73)
Source: RNAcentral